UCCCUGGAGAACUAAUGGUUAAUCCUUGGUGCUCUCACUGCUGUGGCCCAGGUUCGAUUCCCAGGCCAGGGAA
Non-coding RNA from Pangasius djambal, 73 nucleotides. NCBI's taxonomy places the organism in Eukaryota, Metazoa, Chordata, Actinopteri, Siluriformes, Pangasiidae. The record is from the annotation of a GenBank genome assembly.